Molecule: ribosomal RNA, 252 nt
Filed under: uncultured Bacteroidales bacterium
Lineage: Bacteria; Pseudomonadati; Bacteroidota; Bacteroidia; Bacteroidales
Description: partial 16S ribosomal RNA
Rfam family: Bacterial small subunit ribosomal RNA
Source: RNAcentral
UACGGAGGAUGCGAGCGUUAUCCGGAUUUAUUGGGUUUAAAGGGUGCGUAGGCGGGCAUUUAAGCCGGCGGUCAAAUGUCGGGGCUCAACCCCUUCCCGCCAUUGAAACUGGCGUUCUUGAGUGGAAGAGAAGUAUGCGGAAUGCGUGGUGUAGCGGUGAAAUGCAUAGAUAUCACGCAGAACCCCGAUUGCGAAGGCAGCAUGCCGGCUUCCGACUGACGCUGAAGCACGAAAGCGUGGGUAUCGAACAGG